RNAcentral lists this transfer RNA (69 nucleotides) under Echinostoma caproni. It matches the Rfam family "tRNA". From Rfam's summary of the family: Transfer RNA (tRNA) molecules are approximately 80 nucleotides in length. Lineage: Eukaryota; Metazoa; Platyhelminthes; Trematoda; Plagiorchiida; Echinostomatidae. The record is from Rfam by way of RNAcentral.
GGCCUCGUAGCUCAGCUGGUACAAAGCGUAGGCGGCAUCCAUGCGUGGGUUCGAAUCCCACCGAGGCUA